GUCCCCUGGAACGGGGCGCCACAGAGGGUGAGAGCCCCGUAUAGUUGGACGCCUAGCCUGUGUAGAGCUCCUUCGACGAGUCGAGUAGUUUGGGAAUGCUGCUCAAAAUGGGAGGUAAAUUUCUUCUAAAGCUAAAUACCAGCCAGAGACCGAUAGCGCACAAGUAGAGUGAUCGAAAGAUGAAAAGCACUUUGAAAAGAGGGUUAAACAGCACGUGAAAUUGUUGAAAGGGAAGCGCUUGUGACCAGACUCGCGCCGGGCUGAUCAUCCGGUGUUCUCACCGGUGCACUCUGCCCGGCUCGGGCCAGCAUCGGUUCCUGCGGGGGGAUAAAGGCUCCGGGAACGUAGCUCCUCCGGGAGUGUUAUAGCCCGGGGCGCAAUGCCCCCGCGGGGACCGAGGACCGCGCUCUGCAAGGAUGCUGGCGUAAUGGUCACCAGCGACCCGUCUUG
Molecule: ribosomal RNA, 450 nt
Filed under: Thermothielavioides maryleeae
Lineage: Eukaryota; Fungi; Ascomycota; Sordariomycetes; Sordariales; Chaetomiaceae
Description: partial large subunit ribosomal RNA
Rfam family: Eukaryotic large subunit ribosomal RNA
Source: RNAcentral